RNAcentral lists this transfer RNA (87 nucleotides) under Candidatus Hydrogenedentota bacterium. Its description in RNAcentral is "Candidatus Hydrogenedentes bacterium tRNA-Leu". It matches the Rfam family "tRNA". From Rfam's summary of the family: Transfer RNA (tRNA) molecules are approximately 80 nucleotides in length. Their secondary structure includes four short double-helical elements and three loops (D, anti-codon, and T loops). Further hydrogen bonds mediate the characteristic L-shaped molecular structure. tRNAs have two regions of fundamental functional importance: the anti-codon, which is responsible for specific mRNA codon recognition, and the 3' end, to which the tRNAs corresponding amino acid is attached (by aminoacyl-tRNA synthetases). tRNAs cope with the degeneracy of the genetic code in two manners: having more than one tRNA (with a specific anti-codon) for a particular amino acid; and 'wobble' base-pairing, i.e. permitting non-standard base-pairing at the 3rd anti-codon position. The record is from RNAcentral. Lineage: Bacteria; Pseudomonadati; Candidatus Hydrogenedentota.
GGGCGAGUGGCGGAAUUGGCAGACGCGCUGGAUUUAGGAUCCAGUGCCCUCCGGGGCUUGCGGGUUCGAUUCCCGCCUCGCCCACCA